UACGUAGGGUGCAAGCGUUGUCCGGAAUUAUUGGGCGUAAAGAGCUCGUAGGCGGUUUGUCGCGUCUGCUGUGAAAACGCGAGGCUCAACCUCGCGCCUGCAGUGGGUACGGGCAGACUGGAGUGCGGUAGGGGAGAUUGGAAUUCCUGGUGUAGCGGUGGAAUGCGCAGAUAUCAGGAGGAACACCGAUGGCGAAGGCAGAUCUCUGGGCCGUAACUGACGCUGAGGAGCGAAGGCGUGGGGAGCGAACAGG
This 253-nucleotide ribosomal RNA is filed under the name uncultured bacterium. RNAcentral's name for it is "partial 16S ribosomal RNA". It matches the Rfam family "Bacterial small subunit ribosomal RNA", at positions 524 to 776 of the family's 1533-position model. The record is from RNAcentral.